UAGGAAUAAAGUUCUAUAUAUAUCCCAUUAAUAGCAUUCUUUCGUUCAUUCAUUCAUUCAUCGUUUCAAUUCAAUUCAUACCAUAUAAUCAGAAAUUUCCUGCAUCUGUAUUUUUGUAUCGAAAGAGCAACCAUGUUGAGUCUUAAUUUUGAUAUUGCUGAAGUUUACGUACUGAGGAAACUCAACAAAGAGAAGAUCAAUGGACUCCAAAAGAAUACAAGUCAAGAAAAAGCAUUACAAAACAGUGAUCGAUCAUCUGGUUGCUUCUCAGGUCAUGUGUUCAAGAAAGUUCAUCCAACUUCUGUGCCAGAAUCAGAUUCUUAACUCAAUCGAGCUAUAUCUAUAUCUAUAUAUGAGUGUGUGUGAAGGAGAGAGAUGGGGGGGGGGGGGGGGGGAGCUUGGUUUUAUUAGAUUAAUGUAAUUGUUUAUCUUCUCUGGUUCCAUUUGAUGGGAGUUCUGAGGAACUUUAAUGGAUUAAUUCGUUUUUAUUAUGUGAAAUAUAUGUCUGCAAUUUACAGUUAUCCCGUCUGUACUGUCAAUAGAUGAAUGGGAAUUUAUGCAUAUACUUGGCUUCAGUACAAAUUCGAAAUUACAUACAUAUAUAAAUAUAUAUUUAUAUAUUAUGGGUAAUUUCUUUGCCAUAAUUUUGUUGAAUCACGUUACAGUUAUAAGAACAUAGGUCCGGC
This 686-nucleotide long non-coding RNA is filed under the name Olea europaea subsp. europaea. Lineage: Eukaryota; Viridiplantae; Streptophyta; Magnoliopsida; Lamiales; Oleaceae. The record is from RNAcentral.